Molecule: ribosomal RNA, 207 nt
Filed under: uncultured Glomeromycotina
Lineage: Eukaryota; Fungi; Glomeromycota
Description: partial small subunit ribosomal RNA
Rfam family: Eukaryotic small subunit ribosomal RNA
Source: RNAcentral
AGCAGCCGCGGUAAUUCCAGCUCCAAUAGCGUAUAUUUAAGUUGUUGCAGUUAAAAAGCCGUAGUUGCCAAGGAUGUUUCAUUAAUCAAGAACGAAAGUUAGGGGAUCGAAGACGAUCGAUACGUCGUAGUCUUAACCAUAAACUAUGCCGACUAGGGAUCGGACGACGUUAAAUAAUGACUCGUUCGGCACCCUAUGGGAAACCAA